CCUACGGGUGGCAGCAGUGAGGAAUAUUGGUCAAUGGACGAGAGUCUGAACCAGCCAAGUAGCGUGAAGGAUGACUGCCCUAUGGGUUGUAAACUUCUUUUAUAAGGGAAUAAAAUGAGCCACGUGUGGCAUUUUGCAUGUACUAUAUGAAUAAGGAUCGGCUAACUCCGUGCCAGCAGCCGCGGUAAUACGGAGGAUCCGAGCGUUAUCCGGAUUUAUUGGGUUUAACGGGAGCGUAGGUGGGUUGUUAAGUCAGUUGUGAAAGUUUGCGGCUCAACCGUAAAAUUGCAGUUGAAACUGGCAGUCUUGAGUACAGUUGAGGUAGGCGGAAUUCGUGGUGUAGCGGUGAAAUGCUUAGAUAUCACGAAGAACUCCGAUUGCGAAGGCAGUUCACUAAACUGCUACUGACACUGAGGCUCGAAAGUGUGGGUAUCAAACAGGAUUAGAUACCCUAGUAGUC
RNAcentral lists this ribosomal RNA (460 nucleotides) under uncultured bacterium. Its description in RNAcentral is "partial 16S ribosomal RNA". It matches the Rfam family "Bacterial small subunit ribosomal RNA", at positions 338 to 795 of the family's 1533-position model. The record is from RNAcentral.